Molecule: ribosomal RNA, 440 nt
Filed under: uncultured bacterium
Lineage: Bacteria
Description: partial 16S ribosomal RNA
Rfam family: Bacterial small subunit ribosomal RNA
Source: RNAcentral
CCUACGGGAGGCAGCAGUGGGGAAUAUUGCACAAUGGGGGAAACCCUGAUGCAGCGACGCCGCGUGAGUGAAGAAGUAUUUCGGUAUGUAAAGCUCUAUCAGCAGGGAAGAAAAUGACGGUACCUGAUUAAGAAGCAGCGGCGAACUACGUGCCAGCAGCCGUGGUGAUACGUAGGGGGCAAGCGUUAUCCGGAUUUACUGGGUGUAAAGGGGGCGUAGACGGCAGCACAAGUCUGGAGUGAAAUGCCGGGGGUUAACCCCGGAACUGCUUUGGAAACUGAGCAGCUAGAGUGCAGGAGAGGUAAGUGGAAUUCCUAGUGUAGCGGUGAAAUGCGUAGAUAUUACGAGGAACACCAGUGGCGAAGGCAGCUUACUGGACUGUAACUGACGUUGAGGCUCGAAAGCGUGGGGAGCAAACAGGAUUAGAUACCCUGGUAGUC